AACGAACGCUGGCGGCAUGCCUAACACAUGCAAGUCGAACGAGACCUUCGGGUCUAGUGGCGCACGGGUGCGUAACGCGUGGGAACCUGCCCUUAGGUUCGGAAUAACUCCCCGAAAGGGGUGCUAAUACCGGAUAAUGUCUUCGGACCAAAGAUUUAUCGCCUUUGGAUGGGCCGCGUUGGAUUAGCUAGUUGGUAGGGUAAAAGCCUACCAAGGCGACGAUGCAUAGCUGGUCUGAGAGGAUGAUCAGCCACACUGGGACUGAGACACGGCCCAGACUCCUACGGGAGGCAGCAGUGGGGAAUAUUGGACAAUGGGCGAAAGCCUGAUCCAGCAAUGCCGCGUGAGUGAUGAAGGCCUUAGGGUUGUAAAGCUCUUUUACCCGGGAUGAUAAUGACAGUACCGGGAGAAUAAGCUCCGGCUAACUCCGUG
RNAcentral lists this ribosomal RNA (432 nucleotides) under uncultured bacterium. RNAcentral's name for it is "partial 16S ribosomal RNA". It matches the Rfam family "Bacterial small subunit ribosomal RNA", at positions 29 to 507 of the family's 1533-position model. The record is from RNAcentral.